CUUCCAUGGCGCGAUGAAGGAGUUGCCGCCGGUGUAAGCGUACAAAUUCCAUCGAGACCGGGGGCUGGGCUCUUCCUUCUGUCCACGAGUAGGCUGAAGCCUGAAGCUAGGUUUCUCGGGCUUGUUUUGUGGUAAUUGGUGCUUGGCAGGAUUCUUUGUCGCUGCAACCAGCUCGUGAGAUUGUCGAAAUGCCGCGGCCUUCGCAAGGAAUUUCCCAAGGAAAUUUCUGUGUCGCAAUAUCUUCUAGCGACGUGAACGGGACAAGAGUCGAACGAAGUACAUUCUUCCGUAGCCUGUGUUGCGAUCAUCGGAAUAUGCAGGGCUCUAGACGGUUGCAUCGAAAACUGUUCUUUGACAACAUUGACCCGUGAAACCAGUCUCUUAUGAUCAUGGUUUCAUGCUUCGUGAACACCUCCCACUACGAAGAAUAUCUCUCUGUGAAGGAGUUUGCACCUGCGCAGCAUGUAUUUGCAGGUCCCGGCUGGUAGGCCAUCUUUCAAGUCAGUCCUGCUCUCAAGUCAAGUGUUUUAAACUGAAUCACAAAAAAAGUCUGCCUUAACCAGCUUCGAUUUACCUCCUGCUUGGAUCUCUCGCAGCUCUGAUGAAGCAACUCCUUUUCAACCUUGAUCCAGCUAAGUUCCUCGGACAGCUGUUGAUACAUAUUUCCGACAGUCUGCAACAUGAAAAAGAAGAAAAUCUAGGUGA
Long non-coding RNA from Selaginella moellendorffii, 705 nucleotides. RefSeq lists it as uncharacterized. The record is from RefSeq and is a predicted model, not a curated record. NCBI's taxonomy places the organism in Eukaryota, Viridiplantae, Streptophyta, Lycopodiopsida, Selaginellales, Selaginellaceae. The transcript is spliced from 6 exons.